This 775-nucleotide long non-coding RNA is filed under the name Sorghum bicolor (sorghum). RNAcentral's name for it is "long non-coding RNA (SBIC_LNC014723)". The record is from RNAcentral. Lineage: Eukaryota; Viridiplantae; Streptophyta; Magnoliopsida; Poales; Poaceae.
ACACACAUAUAUAUAUAUUAUAUAUACAAUAGAAAAUGCUGAAUAAAUAAGUUAUAUAGAAGCAUAUACUGAAUGUAUAUAAAAUAGAGGGUAGUAGACAUACCUUAGUGGCUUAGACUCAAAAAUCAAUAGACAGGUGUUCUUAGUCCUACAACAAGGAUUGUGCAAGUAGUUCAUAAAAAAAAUAGAAAAUAGAAAAUAGCAAGUUGAUACUUAUCUGAUUACCAGCCAUCUCCCAUCCAUUUAAUGAACACACCAUAGCAGAUCAGCAACAGCUAGCAAUCACAGAUAAGUGGACAGGAAUGACAGCAGUACAAGUGCACAACACAAUUCAUAAAUAAAGAUCUUGUUCCGACAACAAAUAGUUCUCAGAAAAGAAGAAAAACAGUCACACAGCAGCAGCAGUUCACAAGUUUAAGACACACAUUGGCACAUAGCAUCACAAAAGAUAAACCAUGACAUGAGAAAAUGCCCUAGGACCGUAUCCUAUUCCUUCUUCAAUAGGGUUCCAAGUAUUCAUCCUCAUCUUCAUCAAACUCUUCUUUAUCAGAUUCAAACUCUUCUCCUUCAUAGAGCUCUCUCACUCUAGCACUCCUAUGCAGCUGAAGCUGUUUUUUUGCUCCCACUGCAUCUCCAAGAAUAGACCAAGGUAUCUCAGUACCUUCCAUCUCUUCUUCCUCCUCCUCAUCUCUAUAGACCACUAAUGCAUAAUCAUCUCCAUUCUCAUGCAAAAAUCCUUGAGCUUCAAGUGUAUCAUUAGACAAGAGAACAUCAC